UGCCAGUGAAAGCUGGGGAGGAGGCAGUGCCAUUUGCAUGGUGUACACUACCCAGUAUGGAGUCCAGCCACUGAGCAGGCUUGCACAGAGAGUCAAAUUCAGUCUCCUGGAGCCCACUGUGACCUUCCCUGGAUUACAAGACCAGAUGUCUUUAAGAUAGAUCAGGUGCCAGAGAAGCCAAAUGGAGGAAGCCAUGCUGCUCAGCUGCUGGCAAGAGCUGGCAGUCUUUGGGAGUUGUUCCUGUCCCCACCCUUAUGUUAGAAUCAUUGGAACCAAGGUCCCAUCUCAGGUCAGCUGAGUCAGGAUCUCUGGGACAGGGAUUUCACAUCUGUCCAGAAUGUUUUAAGUUCUAAGCUCUGCCUAUGAACAGCCAGGUUGAGACCCACAGACCUGUUGGAAGAAUGGCUGCAGAAGACCAAGACCACAAACCAACCAAAGAAUUGCCGCUGAUGGCAGGCAUGAGCCCAGCAAUGGUGGCGUGUUUCCUUGGUGUGUAACUGUACACAGAAAGCAGGGUUUGUAGUGCACCAAGGCUAGUCACACAGCAGAUAAGUGGCCCACUUCCCUAUUGUCUACCUCCAAAGAACUGAUUUUUAAAUUGCACAUAGCAUUCAUCAAACAAUUAUUUUCCUUCUAUGGGGCUAAGUUGAGUGGCCAUGGCUUUUUUUAAGCCAAGUAUUGAAUGUUGGACACUUCAUCAAAUAAAGAAUUUUUAUUAAGACAUAACCUUUCCUAAUUAUGGAAGCAAAUAGGCCCAAGGUGUGGGUAGGUGAUAGCUAAAUUUAUGUUCUUCAGUUGGCCAUGAGUUUUGAAAAUGAAGAUGACUGUGGGCCUCUGUGAUAGUCUAGCAUAGUGAUAAGCUGUGAUGUUUGUGAGCACUGUCUGCAGCCCAAUAUGUUCUUCACAGAAGCAAGCUAGCAUGUGCUAAGAAGUUCCAUACACAGGAGGUAUAGCCCUCCUCAGCCAGUGCUUCCAUCUUUUGAAUUCACGGUGUCACCUGUGACAUCAAGGGGAGCGGUGCUGGAUUGCCAGCUUUUCAUCCCACUGGUCACCUUGAAAGCUACAAUUAUCAAGUGGCAGGAACCAUAGUUUUAGAGAAACCUCAGACGUAGUUAUUUAAGAACACAGCAUUUUAUCAAAUAGAAAGAUGACCCAGGAGGGCCAUAGAAGGAAUGCCAUGUGUAUAUUGCAGCCCUUUGUCGGGAGUGGAAGCAGCCAUCAAGCUAGGGUCACAGGAAGACAACCUCAGUACUUGUGACUCCUGAGAAUGACCUGCCAGUUGGUGGCUCUCAAGGCCAUGCUCCUCCCUAUGAGGUACAGUUCUGAAUAUACAACUGUCUGUAUGGUGCAGUCACACAGGAGCUUAAAACAUGCUUGUACCGAAGAUGCUUGGGCAGAAAGUGGGAUGAAGAUGAGGCUGAGCAUAUGCGUACUUUUGAAAGAACUCUGGGGUGAAUCUCAUGUGUAAUAAGGCUGGGAAGUGCUGAUGUAUUCUAGGUAAAUGGCUGAAAUAGAUAACAAGGGAUGUCACCUGGGACACAUACCCCACCAAUCCCAGUAUCAGCAAAGGGCAAGGACCCUUAGUGGACUUCAGUGGACAAGAUGGACCCAGGCCCAAGCAAACAUCCCAUCCCUUUGUUGACUUCUUGAUCCCCGCCCUGCAGAAAUGACACAAAGCAGGGACAGGUCGCCGUGGACUUUAUGUUUCUGCACACACUUGGCUUCCUGGUCCCUCCUGAGUCAGAAGCUAAGCCUGCGCAGCCCAAUCACAAGUUCACCUGCAGGGGAGCUUCAGAGCUUCCAGGUUUCACGUGCCAUGGUCUGGGCACACUGCAGCGUUCCUUCACGUGCUGUGGUCUGGGCUCAUUGCAACAUUCCAUGAAGCUUUGUGUGUGUCCCAAACUACUUGCGGAUGUCACAGCUCCAUCUUCUCCAGAACUCUGGAACAAAUCCAUAAGGGAGGAUGGAGCAGCCAUGAGGAGAACUGGGACUGUGGGACCCCGACUUAGAGCAUUUCUCCCUGGAAGUUACCAAGCAUGUCCUGAAGAUGAAGAUACUCUCAGCCUAAUGUCUCCAAGCAAAUAUUGAUUCAGCAGUAUCACCCAGCCGCAUGCAGAGGUCCAAAGCACGUAAACAGGAUACCCACCCUGCAUUAUCUUAUAUUUUAAGUCAAUAUGAAGAUGGACAUUCUACCCCUGAGACCAAUU
This is a non-coding RNA of Mus caroli (Ryukyu mouse), 2207 nucleotides long. The record is from RefSeq and is a predicted model, not a curated record. Lineage: Eukaryota; Metazoa; Chordata; Mammalia; Rodentia; Muridae.